This is a long non-coding RNA of Xiphophorus hellerii (green swordtail), 960 nucleotides long. RefSeq lists it as uncharacterized. Lineage: Eukaryota; Metazoa; Chordata; Actinopteri; Cyprinodontiformes; Poeciliidae. The transcript has 2 exons. The record is from RefSeq and is a predicted model, not a curated record.
AUUUUAGUUAUAAAGGUUCCAUCUGUGUUUUUCUCUAUUUGUCUGAGAGAGUCUUGUUGGAGAUUCCAGGUGAGUUCAGGAGGUGAUUGUGGACAGGGAGUGAAAGCUGAGCAGGUUACAGUGACAGACUGAUGCUCCUUCAGAUUUGUUAGAUCAAUAGCAAUGUUUGGUUUCCAGGCAGAAUCUGAAAUUCCACAUUAGAGACAUUAUUAUUUUUUAGGUUUACAAUGAAAUAAAUAUUUUAUGCAUUUAAGCAGAAGUGAACAUACUCUGGUACUAAACAACAAAUUAUUAUUUUAUUCCUUUUACAUUCAUUUAUAUUUCAACUAAUUCAAGAUGUGAUUAAAAUGCUGACUUUGGGAUUUGAUUAAUAUUCCACAAAGGUAAAGCAUUAACUCAAGAUUGACUAUGGGUUACUUAUCUAAAGCAUUAUUUUAUGUUCACGCCUUCCUAAAACAAUCAAUGAUAAAUAGUGUGAUGGUCUCUCAGAAGGGCUAAAAAUCCUUUUCAUCUUGAUUUUCCACUACUACUAAAACUGAGCCAAUAAACAUUGCAGCUAAUAAAAAGUGCAUCUCUGAUUCAAAUUACAUGAUGAGUGAUGAGUUUUGCUUUGUCUUAGGUUUUGUUUUGUUUUUGUCUUUAUCUUUAGAUGAUUUCAUUUAACACAAAAAAAACAGCAUCAGCUGAAGAUUAUUGUAUUCAUAUAUUCACAAAGAGUCUCUUUGCUUAUUUAUUUUAUGUCUGUAUAAUGGAGUGGUUGUGUUGAAAAAUGAUUUUUUUUUCUAGGAAUAAUAAUACUGACAAUAAAGAAGAAGUUGAAAGUGUUUUUUCGUCUAACAUUUUUUCCAACAGCAUUUUAUUCUUGUGUAAGAAUGAGUUAAAGCUCAGCAGAUGUACCUUUUUUAUCUCAGAAACAAACAAUAAAAAAGGUUCUCAGUGUUUGAGCACUUAAGAAAAUAA